This is a long non-coding RNA of Gracilinanus agilis (Agile Gracile Mouse Opossum), 1150 nucleotides long. RefSeq lists it as uncharacterized. Lineage: Eukaryota; Metazoa; Chordata; Mammalia; Didelphimorphia; Didelphidae. The transcript has 4 exons. The record is from RefSeq and is a predicted model, not a curated record.
CUAGAAGAGGAGGGACGUGAAGCUAGAACAGAUACUUGGCUGCUGCCUUUUCCCGUUAUCACCUUACCUGAUCCUGCCUGUGGGUCUGAGUUUCUUUUUGUUACCUGUGCCUAAGACGUGAAGUGAAGGUGCAGAUUGAGGGCAGUCACUUGCUGGCAGUCCUUUUUGAUCACCCUCCGCCCUGAGCAGCUAACCUGUAUCAUUCAAAAGUGCGGUGACAGGGGAACUAGAAGGAGACCUGGUCAGAGCAACUAACAACCACACUUGACUGGAGCCAAGAUGGCAGAUUAGAGGCAGCCACCCAGCUGAACUCUUCUAACAUUCUUCUCCAAAGAACUUUAAAAUUGCUUCUCAAAUAAAAUUUUGGAGCAUCGGAGGCAACGAAAGGUGGGAGUGAGACAUUUUUCCAACUUGAGAAAAUUUAAGACCAUCAGCAAGAGAAGUUUGUAUCACUGGGGUUGACACCUGUCUGGAACUGGCACAACAAUAGCUGCAAUAGCAGCAGUAGUGUUGGGAGCUUUCAGCUCAGAGACGGUAAGAGGGGUGGUGUCUGACAACUGGUCAGAAAGACCUUGCUGGCAGUGGGUAUAGGGAAACUGGUUGACGAUUCUGGAUUACAGUUUCAGGGUGGUAGAGAGGAGGGCUGCUAGUCAGACACGAGGGAGUAGGGUCCUUGAUCAUAGUUCCAAAGCAAAGAGGAGGGCUAGCAAUUGUGGUUGUAGAGGACUAGGAUAAAGACUCAGAGCAUAGUCCAGGAGAGCAGUGAUCACACAUUUCCUAUGAUCACGCCACCUUAGAAGCAUCAAAAACUUGCAGAUUAACUUCAGAGCUAACUCUGAAGACAGUAGCACAAAAAAACCCUUGAAGCUCGGCAUAGUGCCUCCUUAAUCCCAGGUGAGCAGAGCCCAACUUUAACAUAAAAUUCAAAGUGAAGAAAUAGACUGGAAAAAUGAGCAAACAACAAAAAAAGAAUUUGGCAGCAAAAGGCAAUGCUGGUGCCAAAGAAGAGCAGGAGGGAAACCAAGAAGGAACUGCAGAAGAAGACAACACUGCGAAAGCAGCUCCACCCAGUGUUCCACAGAAAAAUAUUUAUUGGACCCAAGCCCAACACGAAUUCCUGGAAGAAUUAAAGAAAGAAUUAAAAUUGGCA